RNAcentral lists this long non-coding RNA (213 nucleotides) under Elaeis guineensis (African oil palm). Its description in RNAcentral is "long non-coding RNA (EGUI_LNC000538)". The record is from RNAcentral. Lineage: Eukaryota; Viridiplantae; Streptophyta; Magnoliopsida; Arecales; Arecaceae.
CACAUUGCAUGUUUGGAAAUCAAAGUAUUACGUAUGACCACCAAUGACCGAAUACCUAGCCCUCCUCAUUAGUCGACUGGCACAACAUAUCCCAAGCAAUAAGAUGGACCCCUCUCCCUCCUCUGUACAUUGAGGAUCCCCAGAAGAACCCUUAGAACAAACUCUCCAACUUUAGCAGGAUGCUCUUUGGCAGGAUGGGACUAGACAUAAGGU